AGCAGCCGCGGUAAUUCCAGCUCCAAUAGCGUAUAUUAAAGUUGUUGCAGUUAAAAAGCUCGUAGUUGAAUUUCGGGGUUAGCAGGUCGGUCGUGCCAUCGGUAUGAACUGGUCUCGCUGAUCCCUCCCUCUUGACGAACUGUGAUGCCAUUAAUUUGGUGUCGCAGGGAAUCAGGACUGUUACUUUAGAAAAAUUAGAGUGUUUAAAGCAGGCUCACGCUUGAAUACAUUAGCAUGGAAUAAUGAAAUAGGACGUUUGAUCCUAUUUUGUUGGUUUCUAGGAUUGACGUAAUGAUUAAUAGGGAUAG
Molecule: ribosomal RNA, 308 nt
Filed under: uncultured Glomus
Lineage: Eukaryota; Fungi; Glomeromycota; Glomeromycetes; Glomerales; Glomeraceae
Description: SSU rRNA
Rfam family: Eukaryotic small subunit ribosomal RNA
Source: RNAcentral